AAGAGAUUAGUUUAACCCAAAACAGCUAUCUUCGAAAUAGCAAAUCUGACUUAUCAGAUCUUUUU
Molecule: transfer RNA, 65 nt
Filed under: Chlamydosaurus kingii (frilled dragon)
Lineage: Eukaryota; Metazoa; Chordata; Lepidosauria; Squamata; Agamidae
Description: tRNA-Arg
Source: RNAcentral